UACGAAGGGGGCUAGCGUUGCUCGGAAUUACUGGGCGUAAAGCGCACGUAGGCGGAUUGUUAAGUCAGGGGUGAAAUCCUGGAGCUCAACUCCAGAACUGCCUUUGAUACUGAGAAGCUUGAGUCCGGGAGAGGUGAGUGGAACUGCGAGUGUAGAGGUGAAAUUCGUAGAUAUUCGCAAGAACACCAGUGGCGAAGGCGGCUCACUGGCCCGGUACUGACGCUGAGGUGCGAAAGCGUGGGGAGCAAACAGG
RNAcentral lists this ribosomal RNA (253 nucleotides) under uncultured bacterium. RNAcentral's name for it is "partial 16S ribosomal RNA". It matches the Rfam family "Bacterial small subunit ribosomal RNA", at positions 524 to 776 of the family's 1533-position model. The record is from RNAcentral.